UACGUAGGGGGCUAGCGUUGUCCGGAAUCAUUGGGCGUAAAGCGCGUGUAGGCGGUUCGGUAAGUCCGCUGUGAAAGUCGGGGGCUCAACCCUCGGAUGCCGGUGGAUACUGUCGGGCUUGAGUACGGAAGAGGCGAGUGGAAUUCCUGGUGUAGCGGUGAAAUGCGCAGAUAUCAGGAGGAACACCGGUGGCGAAGGCGGCAUCCUGGACCAACACUGACACUGAUGAGCGAAAGCCAGGGGAGCAAACGGG
This 253-nucleotide ribosomal RNA is filed under the name uncultured bacterium. RNAcentral describes it as "partial 16S ribosomal RNA". It matches the Rfam family "Bacterial small subunit ribosomal RNA", at positions 524 to 776 of the family's 1533-position model. The record is from RNAcentral.